RNAcentral lists this microRNA (22 nucleotides) under Callorhinchus milii (elephant shark). Its description in RNAcentral is "Cmi-Let-7-P2c3_5p (mature (guide))". RNAcentral also lists the same sequence under 1 other name. The record is from RNAcentral. Lineage: Eukaryota; Metazoa; Chordata; Chondrichthyes; Chimaeriformes; Callorhinchidae.
AGAGGUAGUUGUUUGUACAGUU